GAUGAGUCACAUUAUUCAUAAAAAUAAUUAACAGCAGGUUAAAUAUGAAGAAAUCUCCUUGAUAGAUUCUAAAAGAAUCAAUACAAACCGAAGCGAAGUCAAUAAAAUGCAAACAUAAAAGAAGAAACUGAUCUCGACCGAUGCAUGACUCUCAUUUCCGGGAAAUGUUUGUCAGCCGCCAAGCCACGAUUUUCAGAUGGUAAAAUCCGAGCUACCGCUGCCUCGACAGCCCGCUACUCUGCGGCCUGUUCGGUGCUUGGACCUUUGUCACCUCCGUCCACCAGAAUCCUAUAUACGUAGAACGCUAAAACUGCUCCGCUGACAAGGGUCUUUAAAAUAGAUGGAAAUGAGUGCACCCGAGAAAAUACCCGCCAC
This 375-nucleotide unclassified non-coding RNA is filed under the name Hevea brasiliensis (rubber tree). Lineage: Eukaryota; Viridiplantae; Streptophyta; Magnoliopsida; Malpighiales; Euphorbiaceae. The record is from RNAcentral.